GGCAGGGGUAUGAAGUCAGUUGUUUCGU
RNAcentral lists this non-coding RNA (28 nucleotides) under Homo sapiens (human). The record is from RNAcentral. Lineage: Eukaryota; Metazoa; Chordata; Mammalia; Primates; Hominidae.